Camelus dromedarius (Arabian camel) is the source of this 643-nucleotide non-coding RNA. The record is from the annotation of a RefSeq genome assembly. Lineage: Eukaryota; Metazoa; Chordata; Mammalia; Artiodactyla; Camelidae.
GGAGCCCCAGACCCGGGAUUCCCAGCUGCUCCAAUUCUCUGAUCAGGACUGAGCACAGACGACUCACCAUGGAGCUGGGGAUGAGCUGGGUGGUCCUGGCUGCUCUUCUACAAGGUGUCCAGGCUGAGGUGCAGCUGGUGGAGUCUGGGGGAGGCUUGGUGCAGCCUGGGGGGUCUCUGAGACUCUCCUGUGCAGCCUCUGGAUUCACCUUCAGUAGCUACUGGAUGUACUGGGUCCGCCAGGCUCCAAGGAAGGGGCUCGAGUGGGUCUCAACUAUUAAUAGUGCUGGUGGUAGCACAUACUAUGCAGACUCAGUGAAGGGCCGAUUCACCAUCUCCAGAGACAACGCCAAGAACACGGUGUAUCUGCAAAUGAACAGCCUGAAACCUGAGGACACGGCCGUGUAUUACUGUGUGAGAGACACAGUGAGGGGAAGUCGAUGUGAGCCCAGAUGCAAACCUCCCUGCAGUGACACAGGGUGGGAGCAGGGGGCGCACAUAACCCACCAGGGGGCGCACCUGAUCCACCAGGUGGUGCUCAGGGUCCACCUGCUGUGUUCAGGGUCAGCCCAAUGAGCAGGUGCAUGGGGCGGUGAUUGUCUCUUCUCAUUAAGAAAACUUUUUUUGGGCUUAUAACACUUGGC